Non-coding RNA from Podarcis lilfordi (Lilford's wall lizard), 83 nucleotides. NCBI's taxonomy places the organism in Eukaryota, Metazoa, Chordata, Lepidosauria, Squamata, Lacertidae. The record is from the annotation of a GenBank genome assembly.
CCUUCCCAGCGAAGAAGGAUGAGGGACGGAAGCGGCUCCAUAAGGGCUCACUUCUGUCCCUCCUCCUGCUUCACUGGGAAGGC